UACGGAGGGUGCAAGCGUUGUUCGGAAUUAUUGGGCGUAAAGCGCGCGCAGGCGGUCUGUUAAGUCUGGUGUGAAAUCCCGGGGCUCAACCCCGGACGUGCAUUGGAAACUAAUGGACUUGAGUCCGAGAGAGGUUAGUGGAAUUCCUGGUGUAGGGGUGAAAUCCGUAGAGAUCAGGAGGAACACCGGUGGCGAAGGCGACUGACUGGAUCGGCACUGACGCUGAGGCGCGAAAGCGUGGGUAGCAAACAGG
RNAcentral lists this unclassified non-coding RNA (253 nucleotides) under uncultured Bradymonadales bacterium. Its description in RNAcentral is "contains 16S-23S intergenic spacer region". It matches the Rfam family "Bacterial small subunit ribosomal RNA", at positions 524 to 776 of the family's 1533-position model. Lineage: Bacteria; Deltaproteobacteria; Bradymonadales. The record is from RNAcentral.